UUGGGGUUAAUGAUGACCUGACAUAUUGUGAUUAUUAAAUUCUUCUCACAAUCUUUCUCUUCUCACAAUCUUUCUUAAAUGAUAUACCAUAAGUUUACUGUUUUCAAGCUCCUAUUGGACUGAUAGGAACAUAUGACAUAUGCAAUAUCAGCUAAAAUCAAUUAUAUGAUAAUAUACGGCAUUCAAUAUUAAAUACAAAUUUAAAAUUCAUUAUAAGUUGUUUAUAAAUGAUGAUUAACCUUCACACUAAAUGUUUAAAACAACCUUAUAUCGCUAUAUACGUAAACAUGUCCGGUGUUAAAGUAUAAGUUUCCUGAAGACAAGUUUGUGACUAAAUGACAUAUUGUGUAUUAAUGCUGCG
This 361-nucleotide long non-coding RNA is filed under the name Mytilus galloprovincialis (Mediterranean mussel). Lineage: Eukaryota; Metazoa; Mollusca; Bivalvia; Mytilida; Mytilidae. The record is from RNAcentral.